AUAGACCGUACCCGAAACCGACACAGGUGGUCAGGUAGAGAAUACCAAGGCGCUUGAGAGAACUCGGGUGAAGGAACUAGGCAAAAUGGCACCGUAACUUCGGGAGAAGGUGCGCCGGUGAGGGUGAAGGACUUGCUCCGUAAGCUCAUGCCGGUCGAAGAUACCAGGCCGCUGCGACUGUUUAUUAAAAACACAGCACUCUGCAAACACGAAAGUGGACGUAUAGGGUGUGACGCCUGCCCGGUGCUGGAAGAUUAAAUGAUGGGGUGCAAGCUCUUGAUUGAAGUCCCAGUAAACGGCGGCCGUAACAAUAACGGUCCUAAGGUAGCG
RNAcentral lists this ribosomal RNA (330 nucleotides) under uncultured Isochrysis. Its description in RNAcentral is "partial Bacterial large subunit ribosomal RNA". It matches the Rfam family "Bacterial large subunit ribosomal RNA", at positions 1637 to 1961 of the family's 2925-position model. Lineage: Eukaryota; Haptophyta; Isochrysidales. The record is from RNAcentral.